RNAcentral lists this ribosomal RNA (290 nucleotides) under Levilactobacillus brevis. RNAcentral describes it as "partial 16S ribosomal RNA". It matches the Rfam family "Bacterial small subunit ribosomal RNA", at positions 1252 to 1533 of the family's 1533-position model. The record is from RNAcentral. Lineage: Bacteria; Bacillati; Bacillota; Bacilli; Lactobacillales; Lactobacillaceae.
AAGUCGUGAGGCUAAGCUAAUCUCUUAAAGCCGUUCUCAGUUCGGAUUGUAGGCUGCAACUCGCCUACAUGAAGUUGGAAUCGCUAGUAAUCGCGGAUCAGCAUGCCGCGGUGAAUACGUUCCCGGGCCUUGUACACACCGCCCGUCACACCAUGAGAGUUUGUAACACCCAAAGCCGGUGAGAUAACCUUCGGGAGUCAGCCGUCUAAGGUGGGACAGAUGAUUAGGGUGAAGUCGUAACAAGGUAGCCGUAGGAGAACCUGCGGCUGGAUCACCUCCUUUCUAAGGAA